This 2478-nucleotide small RNA is filed under the name Pongo abelii (Sumatran orangutan). RNAcentral describes it as "processed transcript". The record is from RNAcentral. Lineage: Eukaryota; Metazoa; Chordata; Mammalia; Primates; Hominidae.
AUCUUGCAUGUUGGCUAGACUAGAAAUCAAACAACUUGGAAAUCGAUCACAACCAGGCAUUAAGUUCACAAUACCUUUGUCUGGAUAUGGAGGAACAAGCAAUCUUAUUUUGGAAGGCGUUAAAAAAUUAUCUGACAGUUACAUGGUAACAGUGAAUGGCUUAAAACCUGGCAAAGAAAGUAAAGUUGUUUUUUCUGUCCGCAACACUGGCUCCCGAGCAGCUUUUGUUAAAGCAGUAGGUUUUAAGGAUUCUCAGAAAAAAGUUUUGCUGGAUCCUAAAGUAUUGAGGAUUUUUCCAGAUAAAUUUGUACUCAAGGAAAGAACACAAGAAGAUGUUACUUUAAUAUAUAAUCCAUCAGACAGAGGAAUCAAUAAUAAAACUGCAACAGAACUAUCAACUGUAUACUUAUUUGGUGGAGAUGAAAUUUCAAGACAGCAGUAUCGCAGGGUCAUUGGAAUGUUUUACAAGAGGGAAUUUAAUGGCGACUUGCUACAUGAUGUUAGAACAGACCAAAUAAAAAGCUUGCCUUUGAACCUGUUUUUGUUUCUUAAUUAAGUGUUUUGGAAAUAGAAACUGACAUUUGGAGAAAUCACAUUAUGAGGGCCCUGUUACAUAAACCAGAGAUGUUAAAACAGAUACUUCCAGAACAUAGUGUGCUUCAAAACAUUAAUUUUGUUGAAGCAUUUCAAGAUGAGCUAUUAGUAACUGAAGUAUAUGAUCUUCCCCAACGACCUAAUGAUGUUCAGCUCUUUUAUGGAAGCAUGUGUAAAAUUAUACUUUCAGUAAUUGGAGAAUUCAGAGAUUGCAUUUCUAGCAGAGAAUUCCUUCAGCCUUCUUCCAGAGCUAGCUUGGACUCUACAAGCGACUUGGGAGCUUCUGGGAAACAUGGUGGCAACGUCUCUUUGGAUGUUUUACCGGUCAAAGGUCCUCAGGGUUCUCCUCUUCUCUCACAGGCGGCUCGCCCGCCUCCGGAUCAGCUGGCCUCCGAAGAGCCAUGGACUGUCCUACCUGAGCACUUGAUUCUGGUAGCUCCUUCUCCUUAUGACAUGGCAAAAACUGGACGUUUCCAGAUUGUGAAUAACUCUCUGAAGUUACUGAGAUUUGAGCUGUGCUGGCCAGCGCAUUGCCUCACAGUCACGCCGCAACAUGGAAAUGUCGCGCCAGAGAGUAAACUACAAAUUCUUGUGAGUCCUAAUUCCUCCUUAUCCACAAAACAGUCAAUGUUCCCGUGGAGCGGUUUGAUCUAUAUACACUGUGAUGAUGGACAGAAGAAAAUUGUGAAAGUUCAAAUUCGAGAAGAUUUAACUCAAGUGGAACUUUUAACUCGUUUGACCUCCAAACCAUUUGGAAUUCUUUCCCCAGUAUCUGAGCCUUCAGUUAGUCAUUUGGUCAAACCAAUGACAAAACCGCCUUCCACAAAAGUUGAAAUAAGAAACAAGAGUAUUACUUUUCCUACAACAGAACCUGGUGAAACUUCAGAGAGCUGUCUGGAACUCGAGAAUCAUGGCACCACAGACGUAAAAUGGCAUCUGUCAUCUUUAGCGCCACCUUAUGUCAAGGGAGUUGAUGAAAGUGGAGAUGUUUUUAGAGCUACCUAUGCAGCAUUCAGAUGUUCUCCUAUUUCUGGUCUACUGGAAAGCCAUGGGAUCCAAAAAGUCUCCAUCACAUUUUUGCCCAGAGGUAGGGGGGAUUAUGCCCAGUUUUGGGAUGUUGAAUGUCACCCUCUUAAGGAGCCUCACAUGAAACACACAUUGAGAUUCCAACUCUCUGGACAAAGCAUCGAAGCAGAAAAUGAGCCUGAAAACGCAUGCCUUUCCACGGAUUCCCUCAUUAAAAUAGAUCAUUUAGUGAAGCCCCGAAGACAAGCUGCGUCAGAGGCCUCUGCUCACAUACCUGAGCAGCUUGAUGUGACUGCUCGUGGAGUUUAUGCCCCAGAGGAUGUGUACAGGUUCCUGCCGACUAGUGUGGGGGAAUCACGGACACUUAAAGUCAAUCUGCGAAAUAAUUCUUUUAUUACACACUCACUGAAGUUUUUGAGUCCCAGAGAGCCAUUCUAUGUCAAACAUUCCAAGUACUCUUUGAGAGCCCAGCAUUACAUCAACAUGCCCGUGCAGUUCAAACCGAAGUCCGCAGGCAAAUUUGAAGCUUUGCUUGUCAUUCAAACAGAUGAAGGCAAGAGUAUUGCUAUUCGACUAAUUGGUGAAGCUCUUGGAAAAAAUUAACUAAAAUACAUUUUUGUGUAAAUUACAUAAGUUGUAUUUUGUUAACUUUAUCUUUCUACACUACAAUUAUGCUUUUGUAUAUAUAUUUUGUAUGAUGGAUAUCUAUAAUUGUAGAUUUUUUUUUACAAGCUAAUACUGAAGACUUGACUGAAAUAUGUAUCUAGCCUACAGUAUUGUACUUAACUUUUACAGGUGAGAAGAGUUCUGUGUUUGCAUUGAUUAUGAUAUUCUGAAUAAAUAUGGAAUAUAUUUUAA